GACGAACGCUGGCGGCGUGCUUAACACAUGCAAGUCGAACGGAAAGGCCCUGCUUGCCGUGUACUCGAGUGGCGAACGGGUGAGUAACACGUGGGUGAUCUGCCCUGCACUUCGGGAUAAGCCUGGGAAACUGGGUCUAAUACCGGAUAGGAGCCAUUUUUAGUGUGAUGGUUGGAAAGUUUUUUCGGUGUAGGAUGAGCUCGCGGCCUAUCAGCUUGUUGGUGGGGUAAUGGCCUACCAAGGCGGCGACGGGUAGCCGGCCUGAGAGGGUGGACGGCCACAUUGGGACUGAGAGACGGCCCAGACUCCGACGGGAGGCAGAAGUGGGGAAGAUUGCACAAGGGGCGCAAGCCUGAUGCAGCGACGCCGCGGGGGGGAUGACGGCCUUCGGGUUGUAAACUCCGUUCGCUAGGGACGAAGCUUUUUGUGACGGUACCUAGAUAAGAAGCACCGGCUAACUACGUG
RNAcentral lists this ribosomal RNA (465 nucleotides) under uncultured bacterium. RNAcentral's name for it is "partial 16S ribosomal RNA". It matches the Rfam family "Bacterial small subunit ribosomal RNA", at positions 28 to 507 of the family's 1533-position model. The record is from RNAcentral.